This 1441-nucleotide long non-coding RNA is filed under the name Pan troglodytes (chimpanzee). Its description in RNAcentral is "long non-coding RNA NONPTRT011779". Lineage: Eukaryota; Metazoa; Chordata; Mammalia; Primates; Hominidae. The record is from RNAcentral.
AAUGGCUUAGCGCCCUCAGGGGACUUUGAGAAACGUGUUCACUCACGACGCUGGCAAAAGAGCUUCACUUGAAAGACAGAUCCGCAAAAAUGCAUCAGAGAUAGAAUAUGGGACCCUGCCUAGGGAGAGGUGAGUCACCUAAGCUUUCUUUUGCAGUAGGAUUAGAGCCAAAUCCAAAAAUCCAAAAGAGGAGAAGUCCCAGGAGACCAAGCCCAAAGCCAGAAACAGCACUGCUAGAUUAGGGAACUGUCCAGAAGAGGAACGCAGCUUGAUGUUAAAAAAAAAAAAAAAUCAAAGUCCUCCACUGCUGUGCACUACAGUGAAAUCCAGGAGAUCUGUGAUGCCCACCAUAAGGGACAUUCGAGGGCUUGCACUGGGCACAGCCAGUGGCACAGGUCUGGGGCCCUAGGAUUCCAAUGACCAGCACUUGGAAAAAGCUUGGUGACCUCUGUUGGAGCUAUGCUGGAGGCUACUUAUCAAGACCUAGCCCAGGUGUGGGCACAGCAGGUCCAUUUUCCACUGACCUGAGAGCAGCUCACAUUGCUGACUUGGAUCUGGGGGCCUCUGUGUGCCCAGGUGCAGACCUUCUAUGCCAUUGCCACCCAGGGAGCUUAAGUCUUACCUGCUGAGGGUUGGCUUGUCUCAGCCACACUGUCUGGUCCUGGGGAUAGAGGCCCGAAUAGAGAAGCUCACCCUUUUUUGGGCAUGCUGUACCUGAGCAUGUCAGUACCUGAGCAUGUCAGUGGGUCCGAUGAGGCUUGAGCUGAGAGGACCCUGACCCUAUUCAGCAGAGGAUGCAGCUCUGGGAAUGAGAACGAGGACCUGCUACUGCUCAGAUUUCUCUAGAUGACCAGCAGUGACAAUAUUAGAUGCACUGUGUUAAUAAAUGACAGAACAUGAAGAAAUCAUAGGAAAUAAAUUUGAACGAUAUAAUCAGAAUGGUAAGCUCUGCAUUUUGUAAAAGGCCGAUGCUAUAGACAAAUUUUAUAUUUCAUGUUAGAUAUGGAGGUCUGAUGACAGUCAUGCAUUUCUAUGUAAUCAGGAAAAUAUUAGAAUGUGAUCAUAUGAGUUUGCAUAUUUUAGAUUGUAGAAAAGAAAUGUUACCCAGGCUGGAAUGCAGUGACACAAUCUUAGCUCACUGCAACCUCCGCUUCCUGGGUUCAAACAAUUCUCAUGCCUCAGCCUCUCAAGUAGCUGGGACUACAGGCAUAUACCACCAUGCCUGGCUAUUUUUGUUUUUUUUUUGUAUUAUUAGUACAGACAGAGUUUUGUCACAUUGGCCAGGUUGGUCUCAAACUCAAGUGAUACGCCAGCCUUGACCUCCUAAAGUGCUGGGAUUACAGGCAUGAACCGCCUUACCAAGAAAUUGCUCCUCUUUUAUUUCAGAAUAGGUUGUAGGCUCUCACUCUUCUAGCCUGAACCCAUGAAGUACUAAUAUCCA